Molecule: long non-coding RNA, 755 nt
Organism: Oreochromis aureus
Lineage: Eukaryota; Metazoa; Chordata; Actinopteri; Cichliformes; Cichlidae
Source: Ensembl
UAUCCACCAUGUUCCACUCGUGUGUCUGGUGUUAAAUAGUCAUGUCAAGUUGCAAUCGUGUAUUUUGUUCACCUUGUACAUAUACACUGUACUUGUACACUGCAGCAGCCUAGUAGGCGUGAGAAGCCAUUUUUGUUGAUUAAGUUUUCUCCUGUUUUUUGUUAGAAAGUUAGGGUGGUGAUCCAAAUCAGCGUGGAGCAGAAUGCACCAUAGAGAUGUACAACUCUUCUGUUGAACACCUCAAGACUGAAGACUGCAAGGAAAGAAAGGUAAUCUACACCGAGCAUCUGAAGAACAACAUGCAAGUCCUCCAGCACAUUCAAUCCAAAACCUGUUCCAGUUCCUCAGACACCAUCAGAGACUGUCUGGAUAAAAAGAAACUUUGCCAACCACUGCAAGUAUCAAGUGUUUUAAAUUUUGUUUGACUGUUUAUUAUGUACUUAUUUGUUUUUGGUUGUAUUAAUUUUGAUAUUAAUUAGAUCAGUGCCUUUUUAGUCAUUAAUUUGAUCAUUAAAUAUUAACUGCUUAGGGCAGCACGGUGGCACGGUGGUUAGCACUGUUGCUGCACAGCAAGAAGGUCCUGAGUUCAAUUCCACCAUCAGGCUGGGGUCUUUCUGUGUGGAGUUUGCAUGUUCUCCCCGUGUUUGCGUGGGUUCCCUCCGGGUACUCCGGCUUCCUCUCACCAUCCAAAGACAUGCAGUUUGUGGGGAUGGGUUAAUUGAUUAAUCCAAAUUGCCCAUAGGUGUAAAUGUGAG